GUGUCAGCAGCCGCGGUAAUACGGGGGGAGCAAGCGUUGUUCGGAUUUACUGGGCGUAAAGGGCGCGUAGGCGGCCAGUGCAAGUCAGUUGUGAAAUCUCCGAGCUUAACUCGGAAAGGUCAACUGAUACUGCUCGGCUAGAGUGCGGAAGGGGCAACUGGAAUUCUUGGUGUAGCGGUGAAAUGCGUAGAUAUCAAGAGGAACACCUGCGGCGAAGGCGGGUUGCUGGGCCGACACUGACGCUGAUGCGCGAAAGCUAGGGGAGCGAACGGGAUUAGAUACCCGAGUAGUCC
Molecule: ribosomal RNA, 293 nt
Filed under: uncultured bacterium
Lineage: Bacteria
Description: partial 16S ribosomal RNA
Rfam family: Bacterial small subunit ribosomal RNA
Source: RNAcentral